GAUGAACGCUGGCGGCGUGCCUAAUACAUGCAAGUCGAGCGAACGGACGAGAAGCUUGCUUCUCUGAUGUUAUCGGCGGACGGGUGAGUAACACGUGGAUAACCUACCUAUAAGACUGGGAUAACUUCGGGAAACCGGAGCUAAUACCGGAUAAUAUUUUGAACCGCAUGGUUCAAAAGUGAAAGACGGUCUUGCUGUCACUUAUAGAUGGAUCCGCGCUGCAUUAGCUAGUUGGUAAGGUAACAGCUUACCAAGGCAACGAUGCAUAGCCGACCUGAGAGGGUGAUCGGCCACACAGGAACUGAGACACGGUCCAGACUCCUACGGGAGGCAGCAGUAGGGAAUCUUCCGCAAUGGGCGAAAGCCUGACGGAGCAACGCCGCGUGAGUGAUGAAGGUCUUCGGAUCGUAAAACUCUGUUAUUAGGGAAGAACAUAUGUGUAAGUAACUGUGCACAUCUUGACGGUACCUAAUCAGAAAGCCACGGCUAACUACGUG
RNAcentral lists this ribosomal RNA (497 nucleotides) under uncultured bacterium. RNAcentral describes it as "partial 16S ribosomal RNA". It matches the Rfam family "Bacterial small subunit ribosomal RNA", at positions 28 to 507 of the family's 1533-position model. The record is from RNAcentral.